AGUGAACGCUGGCGGUAGGCCUAACACAUGCAAGUCGAACGGCAGCACAGUAAGAGCUUGCUCUUACGGGUGGCGAGUGGCGGACGGGUGAGGAAUACAUCGGAAUCUACUUUUUCGUGGGGGAUAACGUAGGGAAACUUACCUUAAUACCGCAUACGACCUACGGGUGAAAGCAGGGGAUCUUCGGACCUUGCGCGAUUGAAUGAGCCGAUGUCGGAUUAGCUAGUUGGCGGGGUAAAGGCCCACCAAGGCGACGAUCCGUAGCUGGUCUGAGAGGAUGAUCAGCCACACUGGAACUGAGACACGGUCCAGACUCCUACGGGAGGCAGCAGUGGGGAAUAUUGGACAAUGGGCGCAAGCCUGAUCCAGCCAUACCGCGUGGGUGAAGAAGGCCUUCGGGUUGUAAAGCCCUUUUGUUGGGAAAGAAAAGCAGCAGGUUAAUACCCCGCUGUUCUGACGGUACCCAAAGAAUAAGCACCGGCUAACUUCGUG
RNAcentral lists this ribosomal RNA (492 nucleotides) under uncultured bacterium. Its description in RNAcentral is "partial 16S ribosomal RNA". It matches the Rfam family "Bacterial small subunit ribosomal RNA", at positions 29 to 507 of the family's 1533-position model. The record is from RNAcentral.